Molecule: non-coding RNA, 76 nt
Organism: Potamilus streckersoni
Lineage: Eukaryota; Metazoa; Mollusca; Bivalvia; Unionida; Unionidae
Source: the annotation of a GenBank genome assembly
GACCAUUCUGGUGGCCUAGUGGUAGAGCAUCCACCUUGGAUGUGGGAGGUUGUGGGUUCGAACCAUGGCCAAGCCA